GACAGCAGUCGCCACGGUAAUACGAAGGGUGCAAGCGUUAAUCGGAAUUACUGGGCGUAAAGCGUGCGUAGGCGGUGAGUUAAGUCUGCUGUGAAAUCCCCGGGCUCAACCUGGGAAUGGCAGUGGAUACUGGCUCGCUAGAGUGUGUCAGAGGAUGGUGGAAUUCCCGGUGUAGCAGUGAAAUGCGUAGAGAUCGGAAGGAACAUCUGUGGCGAAGGCGACUAUCUGGGCCAACACUGACACUGAGGCACGAAAGCGUGGGGAGCAAACAGGAUUAGAUACCCCCGUAGUCCCUGUCUCUUAUAC
Molecule: ribosomal RNA, 306 nt
Filed under: uncultured bacterium
Lineage: Bacteria
Description: partial 16S ribosomal RNA
Rfam family: Bacterial small subunit ribosomal RNA
Source: RNAcentral